UGUGUCCCAGAUCUGCAAGACACAAACACAAAACACCUGGUCCUUAGGAGAUGCUUGUAGGAGUGACAUGGCUCCUUUCUUCUCCCAGGCCACAGGUUGUGAUUGCCAUUAUCAUAUUGUUAUGGAUGCGGGAUCGGGGAGUGGAAACAUAAGCUAUGCUGGGAGACAUGGCCACAUUGCAGGAGAGCACAGUGCCUGCCUGCCUACCUCCACCUCCACAUGACUCCAAUUCCCUGAAACCUGGCUUCUGGCUAUUAAGGUUUGUCUGUGACCUGCCAUUUUUUGUUCUCUAUUUUCUGACCACCAGCUUCCUGUGAGCACACACCCUUGUUCAGGGACUACUGAAUGGAGAGUGAUGCCAUUUGGGGUAGGUUAAGUAUUCUCAGACUAGCUUCACCUGUAGGACUUGUUCUCACUCCUCUACUUUCCAUGUGCACGUUUUUACUUUGUGCAUUUUUUACCUCGGGUCCUGAACCUUCUGGCUGCUCCACUUGAAGGUCUUGGUCCAGUCAAGUACAACCUGUGUCCCUUAGAGUUCCCAGCAAGGCCCCUGUCGCCCGUGUCCUGUCCUAUCCUGUGGGCCUUCUGUGUAUCUACGCUACUCCACGGCUUCACUAUGAUGGCUUACAAAGCCUGGAGUGUCCAUGCACACCUACCCAGCUGUGCCCAGCACUGCACACUGACUUGUAGCUUUUCCUCAACAGUAUCAGAAACGUGAAUGGUAAAACAGCCAUCACUACUCCACUGGACCUGACAAUGUGCAACGCCAAUCCUGGUCUCCUUAGUGUAGGAGCCAAAUUCUUUUAUAUACAGCUCAAUGGAAAUCACUCGCUGGGCAUGUGUAAAGACAUGGGAAAAACGAGUGGGUGUGGCCUCACCCAGCUUUCUUUUCUGUUUCUUUUUUGCACAUCCUCUCUGCUAUGUCCAAUCUACUAAUAAGUGAAAUUUCCCAAGUUCUAGAAACUUAAUUCUUUUCUCCCCAAAUCUAUAUUGCCUAUUUGUUCUCUGCAGAUGUAAGGGUUUUUUUUGUUUUGGUUUUUUUGUUUGUUUGUUUUAAAUUAAAACCAAUGUACAGAGCUGGAGUCAGAGGUCUGUGGUAGAACACCUAGUCUUGUAGGAGGCUCUAGGCUAAGGCCCUAACACUGCCCAUCCCCUAAAGAGGGGAGGAGUUCUAAUAUGUUAACUGGGUCUGACAAUUCCUGCUGGUAUUCCUAGCACUUGGGAAGACACAGGUAAAACAAUUGCAAGAGUUUGAGAGUAGCCUGGGCUAUAUAGAGUAAACCCUCACCUGUAAAAAUAAAUCAAUUGUCAUGGAUGAGCCUAAACUAGCAGUGAAAGCGACCUGGCUCCUUUGUAAGUACAAAAAGCACUCUCAAAGACCAAGAAGGUCACCACUGGGUUCUUCUGUGUGAUGUAUUCCUUUUCUUAUCUUUUACUACAACCUGCAAAAACUCUUGACUCUGCGGGCUCACUCCAGACUCUGCACCAUCAUUCAGAAGUGGCUACCUCAUCCUGCUCUCUCCUGGACUCUUCUGUGCUUGGGUCUCCAGUGUGGCUCAUUUGACGCUAUCUGUGGGAUACACUGCAGCAGUGAGUGUGGCUCUCAAUCCUGGGCUGGGCGCAGAUGGUGCAGGUCUGUGCAACUCCUGUGUUUUAUCAGCACCUGUUUUCCUACUGCUGGAAAGAACACCAGCCUCACUGCCCUUCCUUCAAGUCACACAUUCUUUCUGGGGGCUCUUGGGCCUAGCAUUUGGCUUCCUACAGUCUUGAGUUCCUUUUUGUUUAAUUUGUUUUGUUGUUUUUCCAAAACACUGUCUUACUAUGUAGCUCUGAAUAUAUUUUCCUGUGUAGACCAGCCUGGCCUCAUAGAGGUCCACAGAACUGGUAAAGGUCUACCUGCCUCUGCCUCCCAAAUGCUGGGGUUAUUGGCAUGCGCCACUACACCUAGCCAGGCCUUCCGAACCCCUGCCCAAACCCUGCAGCUUACCCACACUUCUAGAGUUUAACGGUGCCUUUCACUUAUUUUGGUGUUUUUGCAUUCCCCAGUUUUUUUAAGUUCUAAAUUUUCCAUAUCCUCAUUUUUUAUAGCACUUUUUCCAUUUUGGUUUCUAUUCCUGUUUUAAGAAACGGUAGUCACUAUGAAGAUGACCUGGGACAUGAUUUCCUCAAAUGGCCAGGAACAUAUAUCCUCUCACUCCAAUUGUAAGUGUCCUACAGAGAAAUCUUACUUUUGUCAUUAAGGGCAUGUGUUUCUGUUAAAUUCUUUAAGAUAGAGGUCCCUAUUCUUUGAAGAGUAUAAACUUACAUUCUACACACAUCAAGUUGAAUCUAGGUGCACAAACCUUUAAUUUUAGCUCCUGGGGAGGCUGAAACAAGAGAUUUGCAAGUUCAAGUUCGUAUCAAAAUGACACCUUGUCUCAAGACACUCAUUUGAAAAGGUCUGGGGACAAAGCCCAACAGCAGAGCACUUAAGAGACUGUAGGUUCAAUUCCAAGUUCUCCGUUCCCUAAACACACCACAGGAACCACCACACAUGUGGACAGGGAGACAAUGGGGCAAUCUCAAACCUCUGAGUCCCAGAAGUCUUGCCACAUAUUUGGCCUGUCUCCCUGUCCUGCUUUUACAUUCUUUGUGGGGACUGGACAUGUGGUGUACAGUGUGUGUCUGCUGGGGAUGGAGUGGCGAGAAGAGGGUGUCUCUCAGUUCUGACUCCACACGUGAGUAGAAGCUUACAUCUCUACUCCUUCCAAAGUUAAAACUUAAAAAUCAUCCCAUCCCAACCCUCUGAGCCUAUCACAAUUUCACUUCCCUCUUUGUUCCAGAAAUGUCCUUUCCCCAAAUUUGGUGUCUUAACUUUCACUCAGGUAUUUUGAGUAUCUUCCAAUGUAUGUGCAUAUGUGCUAGGCAAGGCCGACUCACAUUACCCCCAUCCUAAACUGUGAGCCAAUUCAGAGUUCUUACCUUACAGCGCUUGCCUGUUUGUCUCCUGUCUCCCUGUUAUAGUGCUCGCCACAUAGAUGCAUCCCUUGUGUAUCUGGUUUUACUUGGGUUCUGGGAAUUUCAGCAUGGAUCCUCACAUUUUGCAUAGCAAGCAAGGGCUUUCUUCAUCCAUGGAGCCACCUCUCCUGCCCCACUUUUGUUUUUGUUGCUUUAGUUAUGUGUAUGCUUUGUGUAUGUAGUAGAAAAACCAGAAUAUAAAUUUCGAAGACCCUGUCUCAAAUGGUGCACACCUUUCAUCCUAGCAGUUAGGAGUUGAUUUCUUCUGAGUUCAAUGACAGCCAGGGCUACAAAGUGAGAUCCUGCCUAAGAAAACGGAUGGAUGGAUGGACGAACACCUGAAGUUGUUUUCUAACUGGCACACUCAUUCCUUGGUACACAUGUACCUGUAUACACACACACACACACACACACACACACACACACACACACACACACACACACACACACAUACACACACUACCACACCACACAAACAUGUACGGUGACUGACCUUAGUUUUGUUUUUGUUUUUGUUUUUUUUGGUUUUUCAAGACAGGGUUUCUCUGUAUAGUCUUGGCUGUCCUGGAACUCACUCUGUAGACCAGGCUGGCCUCGAACUCAGAAAUCCACCUGUCUCUGCCUCCCAAGUGCUGGGAUUAAAGGCGUGCGCCACCACUGCCCGGCCUGACCUCAGUUUUAACGUAAAACGCAACAACAACAACAAAAAAGAUGUUCUCCUGUU
Molecule: long non-coding RNA, 3721 nt
Organism: Mus musculus (house mouse)
Lineage: Eukaryota; Metazoa; Chordata; Mammalia; Rodentia; Muridae
Product: predicted gene, 34872
Exons: 2
Source: RefSeq, a predicted model, not a curated record